Molecule: ribosomal RNA, 468 nt
Filed under: uncultured bacterium
Lineage: Bacteria
Description: partial 16S ribosomal RNA
Rfam family: Bacterial small subunit ribosomal RNA
Source: RNAcentral
GACGAACGCUGGCGGCGUGCUUAACACAUGCAAGUCGAACGGAAAGGCCCUGCUUUUGUGGGGUGCUCGAGUGGCGAACGGGUUAGUAACACGUGAGUAACCUGCCCUUGACUUUGGGAUAACUUCAGGAAACUGGGGCUAAUACCGGAUAGGAGCUCCUGCUGCAUGGCGGGGGUUGGAAAGUUUCGGCGGUUGGGGAUGGACUCGCGGCUUAUCAGCUUGUUGGUGGGGUAGUGGCUUACCAAGGCUUUGACGGGUAGCCGGCCUGAGAGGGUGACCGGCCACAUUGGGACUGAGGUACGGCCCAGACUCCUACGGGAGGCAGCAGUGGGGAAUAUUGCACAAUGGGCGGAAGCCUGAUGCAGCAACGCCGCGUGCGGGAUGACGGCCUUCGGGUUGUAGACCGCUUUCGCCUGUGACGAAGCGUGAGUGACGGUAAUGGGUAAAGAAGCACCGGCUAACUACGUG